RNAcentral lists this ribosomal RNA (253 nucleotides) under uncultured bacterium. Its description in RNAcentral is "partial 16S ribosomal RNA". It matches the Rfam family "Bacterial small subunit ribosomal RNA", at positions 524 to 776 of the family's 1533-position model. The record is from RNAcentral.
UACGGGGGGGGCGAACGUUGUUCGGAAUUACUGGGCGUAAAGAGUGCGUAGGCGGUUUGGCAAGUCCGGUGUGAAAUCUCCCCGCUCAACGGGGAACCUGCACUGGAAACUACUGAACUCGAGAGUGGGAGAGGCAGGUGGAAUUCCUGGUGUAGCGGUGGAAUGCGCAGAUAUCAGGAAGAACACUCGUGGCGAAGGCGGCCUGCUGGACCAUUUCUGACGCUGAGGCACGAAAGCCAGGGGAGCGAACGGG